AUACUUACCUGGACGGGGUCUAUGGCUGAUCAAGAAGAGCCAUGGCCUAGGCUAGUGGCCCGCAUUGCACUUUGUGGGUGCGUUGGCUUACCAUCUCCCCUUUGAGGGAGAGUGGAUGUCGUAAUUUGUGGUAGAGGGGGUACGCGUUCGCGCGGCCCCUAC
This 162-nucleotide small nuclear RNA is filed under the name Hordeum vulgare. RNAcentral's name for it is "U1 spliceosomal RNA". It matches the Rfam family "U1 spliceosomal RNA". From Rfam's summary of the family: U1 is a small nuclear RNA (snRNA) component of the spliceosome (involved in pre-mRNA splicing). Its 5' end forms complementary base pairs with the 5' splice junction, thus defining the 5' donor site of an intron. The record is from RNAcentral. Lineage: Eukaryota; Viridiplantae; Streptophyta; Magnoliopsida; Poales; Poaceae.